RNAcentral lists this small nucleolar RNA (85 nucleotides) under Bos grunniens (domestic yak). RNAcentral describes it as "Small nucleolar RNA SNORA8 (ENSBGRG00000014489.1)". It matches the Rfam family "Small nucleolar RNA SNORA8". Rfam says of the family: ACA8 is a member of the H/ACA class of snoRNA that guide the sites of modification of uridines to pseudouridines. The record is from Rfam by way of RNAcentral. Lineage: Eukaryota; Metazoa; Chordata; Mammalia; Artiodactyla; Bovidae.
AGCAAAGUAAUGCUCAAAAUUCAGUAUCUGGCAUCAUUGGUUUUGCUUUGUGCAUGUUAGACCUGGUAUUUCUACUGAUACAGUA